GGAAAGUAAUUUGCAUUGAGGCAAAGGUAUUCAACAGUAUUUUCUUCCCUUUGCAGGUCGUGGUAAGAUAAUCAAAGGGCACGAUCAACAGCUCAUAUAUUGCCUUGCUGUGGACUCAGAGCGCAAGGACAGACGAAGACCAGACACUGACUUUACAUUUUUGAUAGGUCGCGCCUUGCUAAAAUAAUAAGAGUGUGAUCAACAGCUCCUACGUUGCCUUGGUGUGGAGCCAGCAUUGAGGCAUAGACAAAGAACAGACACUGAUUUCACACUUCUCGAGCAGCCCCCAAAGGAGGAGACACCUCUUUUCACAAAAUUCCUGUGGACCACUUGGAAGACUCUUGGGCCUCCAUGGGCCAUUUUUUCACCUGCAAAGUACGGAGGGAGAGGCCAUGCUCCAGAGGGUGGAUGGCAUUUCUGCAGCAACAGUGCCAUUGAAGAGGAAAGGUUAAAAUUUUACAUAACCUCCUACUCCUGCCUCUGUAACUCAGCUUGCUCCUUGCAAAGUCUGGAUCACAUAGGUCUCAGAAAGUGGGGACUCACAGUACUAGGAACUGAAGCUUAUCUCACUCACCCUUGUCCUGCUGUUUGCAAUCACCCAGCCCCUGCAAACCCACAAACCCGCUUAAUCAUGCCUGUCCAUGUAUACGAACUCUGUAACCCCUUUGUUUGGGGCUCAGAGCUUGGAAUGUUAACUCCUCUGGGUCCACCGGCAUAAUAAACCUGAGUUCUCCAACUCUGCAAGUGUGGUGCUUGGUUUUUUGAGUACUUGUUUCUGCAACACCAUCAAGCGGAAGAUUUUUGAGCCUGGCCUCCAGGCCCUGGCUGUGGAUCCUGC
This 838-nucleotide long non-coding RNA is filed under the name Bos mutus (wild yak). Its description in RNAcentral is "lncRNA (ENSBMUG00000025758.1)". The record is from RNAcentral. Lineage: Eukaryota; Metazoa; Chordata; Mammalia; Artiodactyla; Bovidae.